UUUGUUUCCAAUGCCAGCAGUCCUGUUUUAAAGAGGGAGGAGACACAAAUGCCCCCUCAAAUAGAAAACUACUCCUAAUCCUUCUGGAAAGCGGACUUCCAUUAAACAUCUAAAGAACACCUUAUUAUGUAGAACACUGUGCUGGGCACCCCAGGCCAUCAGAUAAUCACAGAACUCAGAUGUUAGCCACUCUGGCUCCCAUAUCUUACAGAUGAGGAAACUAUGCCACAGUGGGGUAGAGCUCUGCUAGUCUGGAAGAAAAAGAAGCUACAGAAAGGCAGCCUGAUCCUAGACUGAAUCCAGUACUGAAAGAGAGGUGAUCUUACUAAAAUGCGUAACUGCUAUCUUGGGAAGGAAGGGCAUCUGGAAUAAGUCCUCAGAGCAUCUGCUGAUGCCUCCCCUGGUCCGAACUUGACAGGAAGCUGGAAGAAGGCACACAUGGUCAGCCUCAGGGAAUUGCAGAGAGGGGUUCUGGACACAGACAUUGCGAAGUGACGUGGCAUGGAUGGAAUGAGUGGUAAGGAAAGGAGGGAUGAGAACGAUGUCAGGUGAUGAGAACGGCGUGUGAGGAGGGCACCUUCAUGUUGUCAUGGCAGUGGCCGUCUAUUGGGGCCUGCCAGCCUGGCUCUGAACCCUGACUCCACUACCUGCUAACGGACUGAUCUGGGUUAGGUUCCUAUGGGGUGACGACACUCAUGGUCUCUGGUGUCUCUAUACAUCUUGUGAGCACAGGUGUUGACUGUCUUUGCUUGACUAUAUUUCUGAGGAUAUUUAAGUAGCAAACAGCCUUGGAAGAGAGGGAGUGUAUCUCUCUCCAGAGCAAAGGUCAGCCAUCAUAAAAGAUUUGGGUUUUCUGGGUUCUUCUGUAGCACAACCCGCUGUGUGUGAGGCGUCACCUGGCCCUCCUCGGUGUCAUCUGUGGAAGCUGGGGUGCAGGGAGUUGGCACAAAUGCUGACACGAGCUCCCACUAGUGCUGUGAGCAACAAAGCUCAGCCCUGUCUUGGACUGGGGCCUCCUGUGUGCUGCCGGCACCCAGGAGACUUUGUGUGGCAGGCCAGCUGGCUACUGUGUCAACAGGGCAAGAUCUCAAGCCCUUCACA
This is a long non-coding RNA of Acinonyx jubatus (cheetah), 1101 nucleotides long. RefSeq lists it as uncharacterized. The transcript is spliced from 3 exons. The record is from RefSeq and is a predicted model, not a curated record. Lineage: Eukaryota; Metazoa; Chordata; Mammalia; Carnivora; Felidae.